Podarcis lilfordi (Lilford's wall lizard) is the source of this 73-nucleotide non-coding RNA. The record is from the annotation of a GenBank genome assembly. NCBI's taxonomy places the organism in Eukaryota, Metazoa, Chordata, Lepidosauria, Squamata, Lacertidae.
GCUGGGACAGAUCAGUCUGUAGAUCAUGAGGCUCUUAACCUCGGGGUCAUGGGUUCAAGCCCCACAUUGGGCA